RNAcentral lists this ribosomal RNA (168 nucleotides) under uncultured Bacillota bacterium. Its description in RNAcentral is "uncultured Firmicutes bacterium partial 16S ribosomal RNA". It matches the Rfam family "Bacterial small subunit ribosomal RNA", at positions 339 to 524 of the family's 1533-position model. Lineage: Bacteria; Bacillati; Bacillota. The record is from RNAcentral.
CUACGGGAGGCAGCAGUGGGGAAUAUUGCACAAUGGGGGAAACCCUGAUGCAGCAACGCCGCGUGAGUGAUGACGGUCUUCGGGUUGUAAAGCUCUGUCUUUGGGGACGAUAAUGACGGUACCCAAGGAGGAAGCCACGGCUAACUACGUGCCAGCAGCCGCGGUAAU